This 301-nucleotide ribosomal RNA is filed under the name uncultured bacterium. RNAcentral describes it as "partial 16S ribosomal RNA". It matches the Rfam family "Bacterial small subunit ribosomal RNA", at positions 509 to 807 of the family's 1533-position model. The record is from RNAcentral.
CAGCAGCCGCGGGAAUACGUAGGUGGCAAGCGUUAUCCGGAAUUAUUGGGCGUAAAGCGCGCGUAGGCGGUUUUUUAAGUCUGAUGUGAAAGCCCACGGCUCAACCGUGGAGGGUCAUUGGAAACUGGAAAACUUGAGUGCAGAAGAGGAAAGUGGAAUUCCAUGUGUAGCGGUGAAAUGCGCAGAGAUAUGGAGGAACACCAGUGGCGAAGGCGACUUUCUGGUCUGUAACUGACGCUGAUGUGCGAAAGCGUGGGGAUCAAACAGGAUUAGAUACCCCCGUAGUCCCUGUCUCUUAUAC